CCUACGGGUGGCAGCAGUGGGGAAUAUUGCACAAUGGGGGAAACCCUGAUGCAGCGACGCCGCGUGAGUGAAGAAGUAAUUCGGUAUGUAAAGCUCUAUCAGCAGGGAAGAAAAUGACGGUACCUGAGUAAGAAGCCACGGCUAACUACGUGCCAGCAGCCGCGGUAAUACGGAGGGGGCAAGCGUUAUCCGGAUUUACUGGGUGUAAAGGGAGCGUAGACGGCAGUGCAAGUCUGGAGUGAAAGGCGGGGGCUCAACCCCCGGACUGCUCUGGAAACUGUACGGCUGGAGUGCAGGAGAGGUAAGUGGAAUUCCUGGUGUAGCGGUGAAAUGCGUAGAUAUUAGGAGGAACACCAGUGGCGAAGGCGGCUUACUGGACUUUAACUGACGUUGAGGCUCGAAAGCGUGGGGAGCAAACAGGAUUAGAUACCCUAGUAGUC
This 440-nucleotide ribosomal RNA is filed under the name uncultured bacterium. RNAcentral's name for it is "partial 16S ribosomal RNA". It matches the Rfam family "Bacterial small subunit ribosomal RNA", at positions 338 to 795 of the family's 1533-position model. The record is from RNAcentral.